GACGAACCGUGCGAACGUUGUUCGGAUUCACUGGGCUUAAAGGGCGCGUAGGCGGGUGCUCAAGUCCGGGGUGAAAUCCUCCAGCUCAACUGGAGAACUGCCUCGGAUACUGGGUGUCUCGAGUGUGGUAGGGGUAUGCGGAACUAUCGGUGGAGCGGUGAAAUGCGUUGAUAUCGAUAGGAACUCCGGUGGCGAAGGCGGCAUACUGGACCACUACUGACGCUGAUGCGCGAAAGCCAGGGGAGCAAACGGG
This 253-nucleotide ribosomal RNA is filed under the name uncultured bacterium. RNAcentral's name for it is "partial 16S ribosomal RNA". It matches the Rfam family "Bacterial small subunit ribosomal RNA", at positions 524 to 776 of the family's 1533-position model. The record is from RNAcentral.